UACAGAGGUCCCAAGCGUUGUCCGGAUUUAUUGGGUUUAAAGGGUGCGUAGGCGGUCAAAUAAGUCAGUUGUGAAAUACGGCAGCUCAACUGUCGAGGUGCAAUUGAUACUGUUUGACUUGAGUACUGUUGAGGUAGGCGGAAUGGACGGUGUAGCGGUGAAAUGCUUAGAGAUCGUCCAGAACACCGAUAGCGAAGGCAGCUUACUAAAGAGUAACUGACGCUGAGGCACGAAAGUGUGGGGAUCAAACAGG
This 253-nucleotide ribosomal RNA is filed under the name uncultured bacterium. Its description in RNAcentral is "partial 16S ribosomal RNA". It matches the Rfam family "Bacterial small subunit ribosomal RNA", at positions 524 to 776 of the family's 1533-position model. The record is from RNAcentral.